GCAUGGUAACAUAUUUAUGACAGGUCUUGCCCUGUGAGUCUCUCAUGGUAUGCCUAUUCCAGAGUAAGCUGUAGUCUCAAGUCAUUGUCCAGCCUCCUUCCCUGUGAGCUGUGAGCAAUGAAGGGGGUUACACAGAA
Molecule: small nucleolar RNA, 137 nt
Organism: Tupaia belangeri (northern tree shrew)
Lineage: Eukaryota; Metazoa; Chordata; Mammalia; Scandentia; Tupaiidae
Source: Ensembl